Molecule: ribosomal RNA, 423 nt
Filed under: uncultured bacterium
Lineage: Bacteria
Description: bacterial SSU rRNA
Rfam family: Bacterial small subunit ribosomal RNA
Source: RNAcentral
AAGACCUUGCGCUUUUGGAGCGGCCGAKGCCUGAUUAGCUUGUUGGUAAGGUAAAAGCUUACCAAGGCUUCGAUCAGUAGCUGGUCUGAGAGGACGACCAGCCACACUGGGACUGAGACACGGCCCAGACUCCUACGGGAGGCAGCAGUGGGGAAUUUUGGACAAUGGGGGCAACCCUGAUCCAGCCAUGCCGCGUGAGUGAAGAAGGCCUUCGGGUUGUAAAGCUCUUUCAGCCGGAACGAAACGGUUACGGUUAACACCCGUGACUACUGACGGUACCGGAAGAAGAAGCACCGGCUAACUACGUGCCAGCAGCCGCGGUAAUACGUAGGGUGCGAGCGUUAAUCGGAAUUACUGGGCGUAAAGCGUGCGCAGGUGGUUUUGUAAGUCAGAUGUGAAAGCCCCGGGCUCAACCUGGGAACU